Long non-coding RNA from Pangasianodon hypophthalmus (striped catfish), 789 nucleotides. RefSeq lists it as uncharacterized. Lineage: Eukaryota; Metazoa; Chordata; Actinopteri; Siluriformes; Pangasiidae. The transcript has 2 exons. The record is from RefSeq and is a predicted model, not a curated record.
UAAAGUUUGGCUUGUGGAGUUGACACUCUCUUGCUGCUGCCAUUUGCCACUGCAACUAGACUCCCGUCAUACAGGGUGACUGCUAGAAUAAUGUGUUCCACUCUUCAUGAAGGACACAGGUGACUGCGUGGCAUUUGAAGGACUUGUGACCUCCUAUUGAGUUGCUGGGCUGCAGACACUCUGCACUGGAGUGCCCCAUUUUAUCUUCCUGGGUUAUUGUGCUGCGGGGAGUAUUGAACACUCUUGCAAAGGACCAGGCCAGCCACUGUUUUAUUGUCAGUGUACAAGUCUUUUUUUAAUUUGUUUGUUGGUUGUUUUGUUUGCCUUUGGCUUGGUCCUUUUUUUUUUUGUCCUUGGUCUAGUGUAACCCUGCCUUGACCAAGCCAGCGUGGUGGUCAUUGUGUUGGGAGCUGGCUGUUCUCCUCUUUUUGUCUCUGUAUAGGUUCUCUGUACAAGGCCGGAUCUGCACCUCACUACUGCUCCUUUCAGUUGGGGGCUGCACGGAGGGGACACUAUUUUGGUGUGUACUGGUAACAUGCAACACGGUGUGGUAUUUUGUAGUGGUAAUUACUGACCUUGUGUAUGCAGUGUUUGCUAUGUUGCAUGCUUGUAUGGUGUUGGGUUUGUUGUGUCUGUCUCUCUCACCAGGGCCUCCUAGGAGAGGAGCUGUGGGUGCCGUGCCGACCCGACCUUAUUAGUUUGAGAAGCUCCAGCCAGUUUCCCUUCGUCUCUUUUUCACAUUAGCAAUUGUACCUAUUCAAAAUUGUAAUAAAUUUGAGCUUGUGUACA